UACGUAGGGUGCAAGCGUUGUCCGGAAUUAUUGGGCGUAAAGAGCUCGUAGGCGGUCUGUCGCGUCGGCUGUGAAAACCCGAGGCUCAACCUCGGGCCUGCAGUCGAUACGGGCAGACUAGAGUUCGGCAGGGGAGACUGGAAUUCCUGGUGUAGCGGUGAAAUGCGCAGAUAUCAGGAGGAACACCGGUGGCGAAGGCGGGUCUCUGGGCCGACACUGACGCUGAGGAGCGAAAGCGUGGGGAGCGAACAGG
This 253-nucleotide ribosomal RNA is filed under the name uncultured bacterium. RNAcentral describes it as "partial 16S ribosomal RNA". It matches the Rfam family "Bacterial small subunit ribosomal RNA", at positions 524 to 776 of the family's 1533-position model. The record is from RNAcentral.